RNAcentral lists this ribosomal RNA (267 nucleotides) under uncultured archaeon. RNAcentral's name for it is "partial 16S ribosomal RNA". It matches the Rfam family "Archaeal small subunit ribosomal RNA", at positions 719 to 982 of the family's 1478-position model. The record is from RNAcentral.
AGUCACUGACAUUUAGAUACCCGGGUAGUCCAGGGUGUAAACGCUGCAGACUUGGUGUUGGAGGCCCUUUGGGGACAUUCAGUGCCGGAGAGAAGUUGUUAAGUCUGCUACUUGGGGAGUACGUCCGCAAGGAUGAAACUUAAAGGAAUUGGCGGGGGAGCACCGCAACGGGAGGAGCGUGCGGUUUAAUUGGAUUCAACACCGUAAAACUCACCAGGGAAGACUGUUACAUGAAGGCCGAGAUGAAGACUCUGCUAGAUUUUUCAG